AUGGUACAUCACCUGAGUUGUGGGGUAAAUGUAGAGAGUGUCAAUCAAAGGCAGAGCUCAGAGCUGGGAAGGAGCUCUAGAUGGCGGCUGUGCCUUAGAGAGAGCGCGCUCAGCUCCGUGCCUUCCCCAACACUUUACGCAACUUUCCCUAACUUUCGGGCAGCCUCAGGGGGCCCCCACAGCCCCUUGCCUCUCCUAGGCACUAAUCGGGGGCCGAGCGGACCUUUUUCGGGCAGAAAAGCAGCUUUUGAGGGCUCCCUUUUCGUGCCUUGCUGGAAAGAAGAAGCCGUGGAGAGAGCCCAGCGUAUUUUUGGAAUUAGAAUAUAUAUUUUUUUCCAUUAUCUGAAAUUCGUAUUUUAUCAUUCUGAGUCUAAAUAUUUUGGAUCUAAUGUUUUUCCACUACCCGAAACUAAUAUCGACUUGGUCCUGGUGGCGGUGCAUGGAUCAGUAAAUACCUGGGCACAGGACUUCAAAGCAAACAGACACCCCUGGCCCCCUCUUAAUAUUUAA
Molecule: long non-coding RNA, 510 nt
Filed under: Apteryx owenii (little spotted kiwi)
Lineage: Eukaryota; Metazoa; Chordata; Aves; Apterygiformes; Apterygidae
Description: lncRNA (ENSAOWG00000002370.1)
Source: RNAcentral